RNAcentral lists this non-coding RNA (256 nucleotides) under Pediculus humanus corporis (human body louse). Lineage: Eukaryota; Metazoa; Arthropoda; Insecta; Psocodea; Pediculidae. The record is from RNAcentral.
GUGGUGGGGUAAUCCACCUAUUCGGAAGCUGGGGAUGGAGGAUGUUUUAGGGGCGGGGAUUCCGGGAUUUUAUUUCCCACGUUGAGUACGCGUUCGUCAGGGGUAAAUUUUCAACUUGGAUGCCUUGGGGAAGGCCGAGGUAGCCAGGUUUUGAGUCUAAAAAGGGGAAAGUCACCGAGUUGAGAGUCGUGGGUUCAAGUCCUGGUGGUGGGAGUUCAACUUCGGCUCGUCCAAACAAGAAUAAACCUGUACCUAC